RNAcentral lists this ribosomal RNA (30 nucleotides) under Mucor circinelloides. RNAcentral describes it as "partial 18S ribosomal RNA". The record is from RNAcentral. Lineage: Eukaryota; Fungi; Mucoromycota; Mucoromycetes; Mucorales; Mucoraceae.
AAAGNCAUUAAAUAAUCAAUAAUUUUGGCU